AGGACGAACGCUGGCGGCGUGCUUAACACAUGCAAGUCGAGCGGGCGUAGCAAUACGUCAGCGGCAGACGGGUGAGUAACGCGUGGGAACGUACCUUUUGGUUCGGAACAACCCAGGGAAACUUGGGCUAAUACCGGAUAAGCCCUUACGGGGAAAGAUUUAUCGCCGAAAGAUCGGCCCGCGUCUGAUUAGCUAGUUGGUGGGGUAAUGGCCCACCAAGGCGACGAUCAGUAGCUGGUCUGAGAGGAUGAUCAGCCACAUUGGGACUGAGACACGGCCCAAACUCCUACGGGAGGCAGCAGUGGGGAAUAUUGGACAAUGGGCGCAAGCCUGAUCCAGCCAUGCCGCGUGAGUGAUGAAGGCCCUAGGGUUGUAAAGCUCUUUUGUGCGGGAAGAUAAUGACGGUACCGCAAGAAUAAGCCCCGGCUAACUUCGCGCCAGCAGCCGC
Molecule: ribosomal RNA, 448 nt
Filed under: uncultured bacterium
Lineage: Bacteria
Description: SSU rRNA
Rfam family: Bacterial small subunit ribosomal RNA
Source: RNAcentral